This 496-nucleotide ribosomal RNA is filed under the name uncultured bacterium. Its description in RNAcentral is "partial 16S ribosomal RNA". It matches the Rfam family "Bacterial small subunit ribosomal RNA", at positions 29 to 507 of the family's 1533-position model. The record is from RNAcentral.
AUGAACGCUGGCGGUGUGCCUAAUACAUGCAAGUCGAGCGAACGGACGAGAAGCUUGCUUUUCUGAUGUUAGCGGCGGACGGGUGAGUAACACGUGGAUAACCUACCUAUAAGACUGGGAUAACUUCGGGAAACCGGAGCUAAUACCGGAUAAUAUUUUGAACCGCAUGGUUUAUAAGUGAAAGACGGUCUUGCUGUCACUUAUAGAUGGAUCCGCGCUGCAUUAGCUAGUUGGUAAGGUAACGGCUUACCAAGGCAACGAUGCAUAGCCGACCUGAGAGGGUGAUCGGCCACACUGGAACUGAGACACGGUCCAGACUCCUACGGGAGGCAGCAGUAGGGAAUCUUCCGCAAUGGGCGAAAGCCUGACGGAGCAACGCCGCGUGAGUGAUGAAGGUCUUCGGAUCGUAAAACUCUGUUAUUAGGGAAGAACAUAUGUGUAAGUAACUGUGCACAUCUUGACGGUACCUAAUCAGAAAGCCACGGCUAACUACGUG